GUGCUCGAAAGAGAACUUGAACACAGGUGCUGCAUGGCCGUCGUCAGCUCGUGUCGUGAGAUGUUGGGUUAAGUCCCGCAACGAGCGCAACCCUUGUCAUUAGUUGCUACCGCAAGGAGCACUCUAAUGAGGACUGCCGGUGACAAACCGGAGGAAGGUGGGGAUGACGUCAGGUCCUCAUGGCCCUUAUGGGUAGGGCUACACACGUCAUACAAUGGCCGGUACAGAGGGCUGCCAACCGCGAGGGGGAGCCAAUCCCAGAAAACCGGUCGUAGUCCGGAUCGUAGUCUGCAACUCGACUGCGUGAAGUCGGAAUCGCUAGUAAUCGCGGAUCAGCACGCCGCGGUGAAUACGUUCCCGGGCCUU
Molecule: ribosomal RNA, 366 nt
Filed under: uncultured Aquabacterium sp.
Lineage: Bacteria; Pseudomonadati; Pseudomonadota; Betaproteobacteria; Burkholderiales; Sphaerotilaceae
Description: bacterial SSU rRNA
Rfam family: Bacterial small subunit ribosomal RNA
Source: RNAcentral